GCCCCGAGGGCGCAGACUGCGGGGGGCGGGGGGGAGCGCUGCGGUUCCCUCGCCCGGAGGAGGCCGCCCGCCCGCAGCCCGUGCCCCGCGUGUCCCCUCACCUCCAGGCGGGCCCCCUGUGGCCCUUCUCAUCCCCGAUCUCCCGGCGGCCCCUCGUUGCGUCCUCCCCACCUGCAUGAGGUCCCUCCCCGCGCUCCCCACGCCCACCCCCCCCCCUCCGGGCCGCUCCCGCGCCCCCUCACCUCGGGGCGCCGCGGCCGCGGACUCUGGGCAGUCGACGCGCCGAACCGGCUCUGGGCCCCGCGCAGCUCUGCCACUUCCUCGUGGGCGGGGGGCGGGGCCUGGGCGGUUGGAGAGCCCUGGUCCCGCCCACCCCCCCGGGGCUGGGGCCGAGCCGACCCGGGGCGCCCUGACGGCGUGCGCCCCUCGCCCCCUGGCGGGCGGGGAGACUGAGGCUCGGCGAGGGCGGCACCGCCCGGGCGGGAACCCGAGCCCGGCAGCGCGCACGGCCCCCACCCCCGCGAGCGGCCUUGGGGAGCGCCGGUGGCCCAGCAGCUUAGCUGCCUCUCCCGGCCUCAGGCCCCGGCCGCGCGGGGACCAGCCCUCCAUUCGCGAGCGGAUGCCCGCUGGGCGCCCAGUGUGCGGGGUGUGGGCAGUCAGGGGAGCCGAGGCAGCCCGCCCGCCGCCGGGGUCCUCGCUUCAAAACGGGGGCGCCAACCCCCGGCUGGUCCAGUUCCUUCUCAGUGCCGACUUCCUGCCCCUCUUUCCACCGCAGACCGCUUCCGACCCUUAAGGUACCCAGCGGCCUCGCAGCCGCCUGUAUGUGGGUCUUGGGCCAGGUAGGCCCGGCGGUCUCUCCAACCCUGCCCUCUGCCUCAUCAGUGGAGAUGUGGCCAGGUGGUCCCUCCCGCUAGGAUUCAGCUCAGCUGGUCAGCCAGGCACUAAGUAGCAUCACGGAUGGGCGUGGGGUCUUCGUGGGUCUCAGGAGGUCCGGGGCCAGGCACCCACCCUGUCAGGGCUCCCCGCUUUGACCCAUGCUGUUCUUUCUGCCUGGAACACUUGUCCCACGCUGUCCCCACCUGGCCCGCUUCCCUUUAUCCUGCAGGACAUGAGUGAGUGUCUCUUAGGUCACUCUGUCCCUGACCCCCUCCUCAACAGGAUCCUGUGCUCACCAGUCCUGGCUCCCAUUACACAAUUCAACACCUGGGGGCAGCCGGGAGAAUGAAAGGUGUCCAAAGGUGAGGAGCACUUUGAGGUGAGCACACAGGGUGCUUGGGAAACUUCAGCUUCAAUUAGUAGGACCCUGGCCUUCCUGGCUCUGAGGAGACACUGAGGGGCUGUCAGCAGGGCCCCCCAUCCAGCCUUGGCAAAUCCAAGUGAUGGCUUUAGUCAGAGAAAAGUUUCAGAUGGUCUGUACUGGCCACCCCCAUCCCGUGAGGACAAGUGCAGUUUAAUGCUGAGGUGACACUUGUGUCCCUGCCUUCCAUUUACCCCUCUGCAGCUUUGCAGAUGCCCAGGGAACCAUCCCAGGUGGGACUGAGCCCCAUCUCUGAUGGUGGCCCCUGAGUGCUCUCACCCAAUCAGCUUGUGGUCUCCCCGCCCCACCUCCUGGACUUGUGACCUGAGACAGUGGGUCAAAGCAAAGCCCAGGAUUUCGAAUGAAGGUAGAGGGGAAAGCAGCGCCUUCUGGAAUUUGAACACGAAAGUGGAAGAGCCACAGGGAAGCCUGACAACCCGGGGUGGGGGGGAGGGGGGAGCAUGAUGGAGAGAAUCCCAGGAAAUGACCAGAGCCCUGGUCAACCUCUGACUGGCAGCCUGAGCCCAACCUGCCUCCGGGGGUUUCUUCAGGUACGUGAGCCAAGGAAUCUACUUUUUAAGCUGGUUUGAGUUGCUUUUCUGUUACUCAUCCCUAAAAGCAUCCUAACAAAUAUGCACGGCUGAGGACUCCCUCUUCCUCACGAAACUGAGCUAAUUUGAUGAGAAGAAGACUCAAGCUUAGUGCGAGCAGAAACCAUAUUUGUAUUAUUCACGCUGCUCUUCCCGGGGCCGAGAUCAGUGCCUGCCAGCCAGGAGCACUCGCCCCUGCCCACCCCCGAAUGGGGACCAUAGGUCUCCCCCCUGAGAUCGAAGAUUGACACCCGGUACCAGGAGGGAAGAGGGGAGACCCUGGGCCUCCUUCCAAAGCCACGCACACAUGGAGGUCUGGAACACACACAGCACUCCUCAGCCGGGGCCUGCUCACACCCCUUCCAAGCCGCACGGCUCAACUGAGAAACUGAGGUCUACCAGGAGACCCCACAGAUGUGGCAGUCACAGUUCUAACCCUGCAGGGUUGCUGUGAGGAGUUCCUGCCUAUCAGCUGCUUCCCUUGGUGCCCGGCACCGUGACCUUGUGUGCGUGGCACACGUUCUUGCUGUGUUGGAUCCGCGGAUCCUUCCUCAUCAAGCCCCACUCAGGUGAAGACAGUGAGGCUCAGAGAUGUUAACUAUGUUGCUCAAGGCCACGCAGCUUGGCAGAACUAUGACCUGACGCCAAAGCCUCCAAUCAAAGGGCUUUGGCCACUGUCCCUCCAAAUCGGUGGCGGCUGUGGACCGAGGCCUGGUCAGAGUCUCACAAGCAGGGCGAGAUGAGAAGCGACCUUCCACCAUCUCAGACCCCAGCACUGCAGGUUUCUGGCUGCCACGACAGGGAUGGGCCUUCUUCCAUGGAUGUGAGAUGGCCCAAGUUAAAAAAAGAAAAAAGAUGACUCUAGGCUUAAGUUCUUGGAGGCCAAGUUAGUAAAUUUAUUGUUUCUUUCACAGAAUACAUUGUUUCUCUAAAAACCUCUCGAAUUGCUCCCAAGCCACGUGAUUUAAUGAAACUAAAAAGAAA
This is a long non-coding RNA of Balaenoptera ricei (Rice's whale), 2871 nucleotides long. RefSeq lists it as uncharacterized. The record is from RefSeq and is a predicted model, not a curated record. NCBI's taxonomy places the organism in Eukaryota, Metazoa, Chordata, Mammalia, Artiodactyla, Balaenopteridae. The transcript has 4 exons.